Molecule: ribosomal RNA, 254 nt
Filed under: uncultured bacterium
Lineage: Bacteria
Description: partial 16S ribosomal RNA
Rfam family: Bacterial small subunit ribosomal RNA
Source: RNAcentral
GACAGAGGGUGCAAGCGUUGUCCGGAUUGACUGGGCGUAAAGGGCGCGUAGGCGGCCAGGUAAGUCCGAUGUGAAACCAUCAUCGCUCAACGAGAUGUCCGCAUCGGAAACUGUUUGGCUUGAGUGCAGGAGAGAAAAACGGAAUUCCUGGUGUAGCGGUGGAAUGUGUAGAUAUCAGGAGGAACACCCGUGGCGAAGGCGGUUUUUUGGCCUGUUACUGACGCUGAGGCGCGAAAGCUAGGGGAGCAAACCGG